This 285-nucleotide long non-coding RNA is filed under the name Setaria viridis. RNAcentral describes it as "long non-coding RNA (SVIR_LNC000476)". The record is from RNAcentral. Lineage: Eukaryota; Viridiplantae; Streptophyta; Magnoliopsida; Poales; Poaceae.
GGGGAUGUGAGUUCGUGAAGAGGAGUACAGGGGUGCUGAUAUUUAAAGGUGGUCUGAGAAGGGGUAAAAGAGGAAUUUUUACCGCGUCGGCAUUUUGAUUUUUUCGGGAGGAGUGGUUGUCGUGGGCGCCCGUUUCGAAAAGAUUGCAAUCAUUAGGCUGGAGACCGCGAAAUGGAAGGAUAUUUUCAAUGCGUUUGUUUCGGAAAGGAAGUUGAAAGGAAUUUUGAAGUAAAGAUUAUGUUUUACUCCGAAACUGGGGGGCAUGUGUUGACACCAAAUUUUGAC